This 254-nucleotide ribosomal RNA is filed under the name uncultured bacterium. RNAcentral's name for it is "partial 16S ribosomal RNA". It matches the Rfam family "Bacterial small subunit ribosomal RNA", at positions 524 to 777 of the family's 1533-position model. The record is from RNAcentral.
UACGAAGGGGGCUAGCGUUGUUCGGAAUCACUGGGCGUAAAGCGCUCGUAGGCGGAUCUUUAAGUCAGGGGUGAAAUCCCGAGGCUCAACCUCGGAACUGCCUUUGAUACUGGGGAUCUCGAGUCCGGGAGAGGUGAGUGGAACUGCGAGUGUAGAGGUGAAAUUCGUAGAUAUUCGCAAGAACACCAGUGGCGAAGGCGGCUCACUGGCCCGGUACUGACGCUGAGGAGCGAAAGCGAGGGGAGCAAACAGGG